GACGAACGCUGGCGGCGUGCCUAAUACAUGCAAGUCGAGCGGACGGGUGGGAGCUUGCUCCCAGACCGUCAGCGGCGGACGGGUGAGUAACACGUGGGCAACCUGCCUGUAAGACUGGGAUAACUCCGGGAAACCGGGGCUAAUACCGGAUAACUCUUUCCCUCACAUGAGGGAAAGCUGAAAGAUGGCAUCUCGCUAUCACUUACAGAUGGGCCCGCGGCGCAUUAGCUAGUUGGUGAGGUAACGGCUCACCAAGGCGACGAUGCGUAGCCGACCUGAGAGGGUGAUCGGCCACACUGGGACUGAGACACGGCCCAGACUCCUACGGGAGGCAGCAGUAGGGAAUCUUCCGCAAUGGACGAAAGUCUGACGGAGCAACGCCGCGUGAGUGAUGAAGGUUUUCGGAUCGUAAAACUCUGUUGUCAGGGAAGAACAAGUACCGGAGUAACUGCCGGUACCUUGACGGUACCUGACCAGAAAGCCACGGCUAACUACGUG
RNAcentral lists this ribosomal RNA (498 nucleotides) under uncultured bacterium. Its description in RNAcentral is "partial 16S ribosomal RNA". It matches the Rfam family "Bacterial small subunit ribosomal RNA", at positions 28 to 507 of the family's 1533-position model. The record is from RNAcentral.